RNAcentral lists this ribosomal RNA (253 nucleotides) under uncultured bacterium. Its description in RNAcentral is "partial 16S ribosomal RNA". It matches the Rfam family "Bacterial small subunit ribosomal RNA", at positions 524 to 776 of the family's 1533-position model. The record is from RNAcentral.
UACAGAGGUCCCAAGCGUUGCUCGGAAUCACUGGGCGUAAAGGGUGCGUAGGCGGGUCUUUAAGUCAGGGGUGAAAUCCCGGAGCUCAACUCCGGAACUGCCUUUGAUACUGGCGACCUUGAGGCUGGAAGAGGUUAGUGGAAUUCCCAGUGUAGAGGUGAAAUUCGUAGAUAUUGGGAAGAACACCAGUGGCGAAGGCGGCUAACUGGUCCAGAUCUGACGCUGAGGUGCGAAAGCGUGGGGAGCAAACAGG